Molecule: unclassified non-coding RNA, 1991 nt
Filed under: Acromyrmex echinatior (Panamanian leafcutter ant)
Lineage: Eukaryota; Metazoa; Arthropoda; Insecta; Hymenoptera; Formicidae
Description: uncharacterized LOC105149537, transcript variant X1
Source: RNAcentral
GUUGCUUCGUCGUGGUGGUUCGUCACACCGGGUGGUACGUGCGUGCGUGCGUGCAAAGAGGGGAAAAAGACGACGACCCUAUCUGUGCCUUUCGCGCGGGGGUGGUGUGGACGAUGUGCGCGUGCCGAUAACGAUAAGGCCGCCGCAGGGAUGUGCCUAGCGGGGGGCACUCGAGCCCUCCUGCUCUUGGCGCUCGUGCUGUGCCAGCGUGCUGGCUGCGUCGAUGGCAAGAAUGACAACUACCAGAUGAGCGACAUCUGCAAGAAAUACUUCCUGCGGGAUCUCUACAGGAAGAUAGACGGCGCCGUUCUUACCUCACAAAAUGAGAGGGAUCUCGAUUGCGCCAUUACUUUCCAGACUCACAGCAUCCUCCAGCGGUUUAUGCUCCGAUUCGAUCAGCUGCAGUUAGACUGCAACGACCAUCUCUACAUCUACGAUGGUGCGCACGCGGUCGGCAGUUACAAGGCAGACCUAUCCUGCAGAAACACGAAGCAGACCGUGGGUGCGAUUUACACGCGUACAAACUUCGUGACGUUGAAAUACGUCACCGACGGCUGGGGCACCAGCUCGAAUGGCUUCCGCCUCGUCAUCACAGCCGUCAAGGAUCCGAAGCACACCUGCAAAGAUUUUCGAUGCACUCAGAAUGAAUUUUGCAUCGAGACGGAUCUUCUUUGUGAUGGCGUAAAUCACUGCGGCGACGAAUCUGAUGAGGCCACUUCCACCCUUUGUGCCAAUUCCGAGGCGUCGACGAUCCUAGGCAUGCAGACUACUUGGUUCGCCAUCGCCCUUGUUUUUCUGAUACUCAGCAUGGGCGGCUUGGUAACGGCGGCGGUUCUCUGCUUUUGCAGGCAGCGUGUUCCUACCCCGAGGCAUCCCCAUAACGCGCACAAUGCUCAGUCUCAUCCCCCAGUCAGCUUCCCAUUGCAACAGAUGUACGGAUCGAACGGAGCAAGCGUCGGUCUACCAAUGGGCAUGACCACGCUGAAGGGCACAACCGGUACUCUGGGGCCCCUGGGGAACUACGGCUCGGGGAUGGGAAUAACGGGGGCCACGACCCUGCCACGGCCGGGAAACUGGCUGCGCCCUGCGGGCCUCAGGCUCGGGCACAGCGCGGCCCGGGUCCGCCUCUACUGCCAGGCAAAGUGAGGAGCCAUGGUUCCGACAGCGACAUCUCCUCCAGCCAGAAAGACGAGUGGUUUGUGUAGAGGCAGGCCUGGACCAGAGCCCGCAGGGUGAAUCGGAGCGGUGGUGCCCUCACCGCCCCUGGGGGACGGGGCGACGCCAGACGUCGAAUCGUCUUCUGCUGAUAUCGGUCGCGUGUUAUCGGCGAACAUCGAGCCACAAGUAACGCAGACGCAAUUCCCAACCACCUUCUGACCUCCCUUAAGUACCAUGGAACCGCACCGGAAGUACGACCGAUACGGUCGAGAGGAACGGAAAAAUUCAAUUUCGACACGAAGAACAAUUGUGUAAAUCCUUUUUAUCUCGUUUUACGAAAGUCUAUAUGUUUUCCCAGAAGAAAUUUCAUCGUCAUAAAAUAGACGCGGAAUAUUGUUGAACGAUGAAGGUUGGUUAGGCAUUACACGUAGAUAAAAAAAAAUACGAAUGAAAAUAAAUAAGAUAGGCAAGAGAGAGAGAGAGAGAGAGAGAGAGAGAGAGAGAGAGAAAGAGCAGGAUCGAUAUUCCGAGUCGACAUUCGCGGAUUUGUUUGCAUCGCUAAUCAAGCUAUUAAUGAAGUAAACAGAUUUUUCGAACAGAUGAUCGAACGAAUGCUGAUUUUUCGAAAUUCGCUCGGGUGGAUAUAAGUAUACAAAUUGUUUGCAAGGGGGAGGGAGAAACGGGAUAUCGUCGACGUAAUGCGAGGCGCGAACACGCGGUCCGAGAGAUUAUUGGACAAAAAAUUAAUUACAAACAGUGUGAGUGUGCGUACGUAACGCGUGCGUAUGUGUGAGCGUGUGCGAGUGUGAAUAGAAUGGGAGUAAUAAAUACAC